CUAAGCACUAAAAUCAUUGGAUUAAAACUUAAAGAGCAUGGCGGCCACAAAAAUGAUUAGGGGAACUUACCAAGUAAUAGACAACCCACACGUUAUUCCUCUUAUUUUUACAGUUUGUAUACCGCCGUCUAAGUAUUACUUAUGGUAGUGCUAAAAAUCUAUUUAAAAGAAAAGGACAGGUCAUGGUGCAGCCGAUAAAUAAGUUUAGGCGAGUUACAAUAAAAGAUUUUUUUUUAAAAAAUCUUUUAAAGAUUUAAAAAAGUGGACUUAAAAGUAAUAUUUAAAAGAAAUAUAAUCUGAAUCAAAAAUUUUGUGGUGU
Molecule: ribosomal RNA, 319 nt
Filed under: Paromoionchis tumidus
Lineage: Eukaryota; Metazoa; Mollusca; Gastropoda; Systellommatophora; Onchidiidae
Description: partial 12S ribosomal RNA
Source: RNAcentral